UCGAACCUUAUACUGGUUCAAAUCAUCUCGAGGUUGGUAAUGGUAAGGGACUCUCUAUCUCUCAUCUUUGUGAUUCCUUCAUUUCAACAUCUACCAACACCUUGCGAGUCCAUUUUCUCUUGAAAAUAAAGCCCUUUUUAAAUUUCAUGGUGAUUCAUGUUUCCACGAGGAGCAAGUGUCCAAGGCUAUCCUUCAGCGUUAAAGAUGACCUUUCUUGGCUAGACAAGCCCUCCUCUAAAUUGAUCCCUCGUGCAUUGUCUAUUGUUUGUUCCACUUCUGACAUUCGGUAUAGAUGUCUUGGUUAUCCUCACACUGACGUCUUCCAUCACUUGUUUUUGAAUAAACACAAUUUUGGUUAUUUUUUUCUAGCUCAUCUUUUCAGUAUACUGCUUGUCCUUUGUACAGAUCUAGUAGAUUGUCAUUAGGUCGUUCAAAACAUAUGAACUCUGCUUUGUUGGGGUUAUUGUUUAGUGAUGUUCGGGUCCCUCUUCCACGUUCUCAUUUGAAGGGUACCGCCUUCACUUCAUUGUUUUUACAGGCCAUUUUUCCAAAUUUACAAGGUUUUGUUGAUGCUACUCCUGUUGAUGCACCAAUGGAGAUCAAUCUUAAGUUGAGAAAGGAAGAAGGGGAUCUUUUGUGUAAAUUGUACUCUCUACCGCAAGUUUGUUGGGAGCUUGGUUUACAUGACUAGUACUCGUCCAGACAUUGCUUUGUUUGUUCAACAAGUGAGCCAAUUCCUAGCUUUUCCGGUUGUAGUUCAUCGCAUCAUACCACUUAUGAGUUGCUCUUUCCAUUUGAUUCUCCAUUGACUUUGACAACUUAAUUACUACAAUACUGAUUGGUUGGCUGUCUAGACAGUCAUUGUUCUACCACUGGCUUGUGCAUAUUUCUUGGUGAUGCUCUUGUUUCUUGGAAGGACAAGAUACAGGCAAUGGCCUCCAAGUUUUCUACCAAGGUUGAAUGUUGUGCUAUGUCCACUACAUGUGCUCCGAUCAUUUGGCUUUGAGGUCUGCUUGUUGAGAUCAAGGUUUUGCUCAAACCAAUCCUACUCUUGUUGCGAUCAAGGUUUUGCUCGGACUAAUCCUCCUCUUACAAAAGUUGACUCGACAUCAAUUCUUAAUUGGCAGCAAAUUGCUGCUGAUUGAUCUCCCAGCAUCAAUUUGGAUGUGUUAUUAAAUCUAUUUUUGUUAUCAAGUCUAUUUUAGACAAUACAGCUAUUAUUGACUUUAA
Molecule: long non-coding RNA, 1230 nt
Organism: Populus trichocarpa (black cottonwood)
Lineage: Eukaryota; Viridiplantae; Streptophyta; Magnoliopsida; Malpighiales; Salicaceae
Exons: 2
Source: RefSeq, a predicted model, not a curated record